CUAACAUGAGUCAGUCCAGUGUGCAACCUCGGUCACAUCGACUGGUGAAUCCAGACCAGCACUCAGGGAGCUGGAAAGAGGGGAGUAGUUCAGGAGGGAGCUGAGAAGAGAGGAUCUGAUGGGAGGAGGAUAAAGCUGCUCCCAGCCCUUGAAGUGCCUGCAAGGAUGCGAAGGCUGAUGUUCCUAAACAAUGGCUGAAGAACAAACCGAGGCUCCAGGCUCGGUUUAGUGCUGAGUUUUGCUGUAUGGACCCCGGGAUGUUUCUGAGCUGGUUUCUUUGAGAAAUGAGGGAAGUCCCAGGGAGGGCUCUGCUGUGAGCAGUUCUGCUGGCUCCUUCCCCUGCAGCCACAGCCAGGCAGCCAAAGGAUCAGCCGCCAAAAACCCACUUGGGCAAGAUUCAAACAAACAUCCAGGCCAGCAGCUUCAAGUGCUCUCAUUCACAAGCGAUCAGUCAGAAAUCUCUGCUGAUUUUGGUGGCACUGACAUCAAAGGUACAGCAUUUUUCACUGCAUGACCACACUGACGUCACCACUGUAAAGCCUGAUGGAGGAUGGAAUGAGCAGAUCCUGCCAGUUUUCUCUGCCUGGAUUUGGCAGCACGCAGAGGUUUUGUGAUGUGCUCUACUGGAGGUUGUUUUUGGCACCUCCCCUGCAGUGUCAGUGCCAGUGUGCAGCAGAAGAGCAUCUCAUCUCUGAGCCAUGCUGGAAUAGGAGGUGGGAGUCAGCACUUUUCUUCCAGCAGAUGCCACCCAACCUUGACCUCCACCAUCCAGAUGUGCAGGAGCUUUGGAAACUCAAGAGACAGAUGAGCACACAUGGAAGAGCGAUGCUCAGGUGCAGAGCGAGCAGGAGUGUGCAUUGCCACUGA
RNAcentral lists this long non-coding RNA (867 nucleotides) under Serinus canaria (Common canary). Its description in RNAcentral is "lncRNA (ENSSCAG00000004561.1)". The record is from RNAcentral. Lineage: Eukaryota; Metazoa; Chordata; Aves; Passeriformes; Fringillidae.